AAAAGCUUGCUGGUUACUGCACCAAGUUUUGGUGUCAACAGACUAAUCUGUUUCUACUGCCGGCGAAUUUAUCGGCUCAGAGUGGGAUCAAGGCAUCAGGCCGAUGGAGUUCUUUAUAUUUCAAGAGGAGUCGAUGUGGCUUUGAAUAUGGCAAUCAGACGUCAUUAGCUCUAAAGACAAGUAUCAGACUUCUAUAAUUAGUUUCGGAACAUGAAG
Molecule: long non-coding RNA, 216 nt
Filed under: Setaria italica (foxtail millet)
Lineage: Eukaryota; Viridiplantae; Streptophyta; Magnoliopsida; Poales; Poaceae
Description: long non-coding RNA (SITA_LNC003047)
Source: RNAcentral